GCGCACAGGUGCACGAUGGACGACGUGCA
RNAcentral lists this non-coding RNA (29 nucleotides) under Homo sapiens (human). The record is from RNAcentral. Lineage: Eukaryota; Metazoa; Chordata; Mammalia; Primates; Hominidae.